AGAAUCAACGCUGGCGGCGUGCCUAACACAUGCAAGUCGAACGAGAAAGGGGAGCAAUCCCUGAGUAAAGUGGCGACCGGGUGAGUAACACGUGACUAACCUACCCUCGAGUGUGGAAUAACAUCGGGAAACCGAUGCUAAUACCGCAUAACAUCGGCGCUUUUAAGAGAUGCCGAUCAAAGGAGCAAUCCGCUUGAGGAGGGGUCGCGGCUGAUUAGCUAGUUGGCGGGUAACGGCCCACCAAGGCGAAGAUCGGUA
Molecule: ribosomal RNA, 258 nt
Filed under: uncultured bacterium
Lineage: Bacteria
Description: partial small subunit ribosomal RNA
Rfam family: Bacterial small subunit ribosomal RNA
Source: RNAcentral